UACGGAGGGUGCAAGCGUUAUCCGGAUUCACUGGGUUUAAAGGGUGCGUAGGUGGAUUUAUAAGUCAGUGGUGAAAGCCCCGAGCUCAACUUGGGAAUUGCCAUUGAAACUGUUCGGCUCGAGUACGAGAGAGGUGAGUGGAAUUCCCAGUGUAGAGGUGAAAUUCGUAGAUAUUGGGAAGAACACCGGUGGCGAAGGCGGCUCACUGGCUCGUUACUGACGCUCAGGCACGACAGCGUGGGGAGCAAACAGG
Molecule: ribosomal RNA, 253 nt
Filed under: uncultured bacterium
Lineage: Bacteria
Description: partial 16S ribosomal RNA
Rfam family: Bacterial small subunit ribosomal RNA
Source: RNAcentral